CCUACGGGAGGCAGCAGUAGGGAAUCUUCCACAAUGGGCGAAAGCCUGAUGGAGCAACGCCGCGUGGGUGAAGAAGGUCUUCGGAUCGUAAAACCCUGUUGUUAGAGAAGAAAGUGCGUGAGAGUAACUGUUCACGUUUCGACGGUAUCUAACCAGAAAGCCACGGCUAACUACGUGCCAGCAGCCGCGGUAAUACGUAGGUGGCAAGCGUUAUCCGGAUUUAUUGGGCGUAAAGGGAACGCAGGCGGUCUGUUAAGUCUGAUGUGAAAGCCUUCGGCUUAACCGGAGUAGUGCAUUGGAAACUGGGAGACUGGAGUGCAGAAGAGGAGAGUGGAACUCCAUGUGUAGCGGUGAAAUGCGUAGAUAUAUGGAAGAACACCAGUGGCGAAAGCGGCUCUCUGGUCUGUAACUGACGCUGAGGUUCGAAAGCGUGGGUAGCAAACAGGAUUAGAUACCCGUGUAGUC
This 465-nucleotide ribosomal RNA is filed under the name uncultured bacterium. RNAcentral's name for it is "partial 16S ribosomal RNA". It matches the Rfam family "Bacterial small subunit ribosomal RNA", at positions 338 to 795 of the family's 1533-position model. The record is from RNAcentral.